GGCUGGAGGCCAGACUUGGUGGGCCGUGGGUGGGGGUGGGCCGUGACGUGACACGGAGGGCGUGACGGUCAGGGCUGCAGGCUUGGCCCUGGCGUCCGCUGCCCCUUUCCCGCUCACAGUGUAGCGGCUCUGAGACCUGCUGCUCACCACCACUGGAACAUGAGGCCUGGGCUUCCCCCAAGCUGUGGACAGAAGCCCGUCCCAGUGAGCACUGCGGAUGGCCAGGCCACAGGUCCCAGGGAAGGGGCAGGGGGUGCUCUGGCCAGAGAGGGCACAAGAGUCCAUGGACACCGGGUGGCAUCUGUGGGGAGCCCCCAGGCGUUGGUCAGGGUGGGGUUGGUGGGCUCUGCAUAGCCCCGUGUUCUCCCCCCAGGCCAGGACCUGCUCCUGUUCCUGCAGGCCCUGCAGACGCUGUGGUCCACGCGGGAGCUGCGGCAGGUGCUCACUGACAGGUGUGCAUCCCCCGCCACGGUCCCUCCAUCACAGGUCUCCACAGACCAGAGUCCUGUCUCAGCACUUUUCCUGUGCUGUUGUGGUCAUCACUCAAGGUGCAUCGUCCCUGUGUGUUCUGUGGGUUCUCACCGAGCGCCUAUUAGUGAAGCUCUUUCCCACCGGUGGCGGCCCCCCGCGUGCCUGCCGAGCGGUCACAGAGCAAUGGUGCUUCUCCCGCGAGGGUGUCGCCAGGACCCACCAGCAGAUGCGGAGGCACGUGAUACCCCAGCCCAGGUGCGGGAGGGUGCCGAUGGUAGCCCUGGGCCCUCGGAGGCCUCCUUUCUCACAGACCCCCCUCCUUUCCCGGGUGUUUGUAGAGGGAGACUUGCCCGGUCUCCUGAGUUCCCACACACGUUUGAGGGGAAAGUGCAUUUCACGUUUGGUGAGCAUGCCAACUUGCUCAAGUAUGGUGGUUUUAAAAUUAGGUUCAGACUAAGUAGACGUUUGCUCUGCGUGUCCUGGGGAAGCAUCGUCCACACAGUGAUGCAAGGACCGAGGCCCAUGUCCCGGUUCUGCACCCUGCUUCCUGCCCACGGCUCUGUGGAUGGACCCCCUGGCCUGGGGGCUGCUGGGGGCUGCUGAGCUCAGCAGAGGCAUCUGUAUGGGAGAGGGCACGCAGACAGGACGCGGGUGACUCUCCGAGCUCCAGACCUGAGCAAUGCUUUCCAAGGAGAGAGUUCUGGCCCAGGCCGGCCCCAGGCUGCUCUCAGG
Molecule: long non-coding RNA, 1203 nt
Filed under: Zalophus californianus (California sea lion)
Lineage: Eukaryota; Metazoa; Chordata; Mammalia; Carnivora; Otariidae
Description: lncRNA (ENSZCAG00015025192.1)
Source: RNAcentral